GGGCGCAAGCCUGAUGCAGCGACGCCGCGUGAGGGAUGGAAGCCUUCGGGUUGUAAACCUCUUUUGUUUGGGAGCAAGCCUUCGGGUGAGUGUACCUUUCGAAUAAGCGCCGGCUAACUACGUGCCAGCAGCCGCGGUAAUACGUAGGGCGCAAGCGUUAUCCGGAUUUAUUGGGCGUAAAGGGCUCGUAGGCGGCUCGUCGCGUCCGGUGUGAAAGUCCAUCGCUUAACGGUGGAUCUGCGCCGGGUACGGGCGGGCUGGAGUGCGGUAGGGGAGACUGGAAUUCCCGGUGUAACGGUGGAAUGUGUAGAUAUCGGGAAGAACACC
RNAcentral lists this ribosomal RNA (327 nucleotides) under uncultured bacterium. RNAcentral's name for it is "bacterial SSU rRNA". It matches the Rfam family "Bacterial small subunit ribosomal RNA", at positions 373 to 710 of the family's 1533-position model. The record is from RNAcentral.